GAUGAAGAACGUAGCGAAAUGCGAUACUUGGUGUGAAUUGCAGAAUCCCGUGAACCAUCGAGUCUUUGAACGCAAGUUGCGCCCGAAGCCACUAGGCCGAGGGCACGCCUGCCUGGGCGUCACACGCCGUUGCCCCCCCAUCUACUCCUUCGGGAUUGCGGGGGGGCGGAUGAUGGCCUCCCGUGCGCCUAGCCGCGCGGUUGGCAUAAAUACCAAGUCCUCGGCGACGCACGCCACGACAAUCGGUAGUUGCGAAACCUAGGUUGCCCGUCGUGUGCGUUCGUCGCGCAUCGAGGGCUCGAAAAAAUGCUCGGCUCCGGCUGGGCUUUCAACGCGACCCCAGGUCAGGCGGGGUUACCCGCUGAAUUUAAGCAUAUCAAUAAGCGGAGGA
This 391-nucleotide unclassified non-coding RNA is filed under the name soil metagenome. Its description in RNAcentral is "partial contains 5.8S ribosomal RNA, internal transcribed spacer 2, and large subunit ribosomal RNA". The stretch from base 1 to 122 matches the Rfam family "5.8S ribosomal RNA", at positions 35 to 154 of the family's 154-position model. The record is from RNAcentral.